CGACUCAAAACCUUGCAUUUAGACACGAUUUCAGUUUCAAUCACUCAGCCAUAAUCAUCACAAUUGAGUCGGAAUCAAAUUCCAACUCAAGACUCGCAUAUAAAGAUUAACACUACUCUAAUAGUGCUAGUCAACCUGGCAUCUCCAGACCAAAAGUGUUAUGGGUCUAAGAAUGCACAUGGGCAUUACAAACAAGAUUCACAAAAAGACACCCUUUCCAUUCAAC
RNAcentral lists this unclassified non-coding RNA (226 nucleotides) under Hevea brasiliensis (rubber tree). The record is from RNAcentral. Lineage: Eukaryota; Viridiplantae; Streptophyta; Magnoliopsida; Malpighiales; Euphorbiaceae.